This 2774-nucleotide unclassified non-coding RNA is filed under the name Polistes canadensis. RNAcentral's name for it is "zinc finger Ran-binding domain-containing protein 2- like, transcript variant X5". Lineage: Eukaryota; Metazoa; Arthropoda; Insecta; Hymenoptera; Vespidae. The record is from RNAcentral.
ACGAUGCAUAUGCUCCUUUCAGUUCUUUCCUUAUUCUUUUUCUUUCAAAAUAGGAAUACUAGUGCCCUUACAAAAAUAAAGGAAUAAUUUAUUGAACUUUUAACUUGAAUAAUAUCAGUGUUUGGCUCCCCUGAGUUUUUGUAGUGAUUAGUAGUAUAUACUGAUUUAUUCCUGGGAAUAAGAGUUUACUUUGCAUACACGUUUGUAUCGCGGUACGUUAUACCGCGGAUAUGGUGGUAAUAAAAGGUAUUGCUCUCUCUAUCUCUAAGAUAGUAAUAAUAUUUAUGAAUACCUCUCAAUAUACAUUUUAAAUGACUUCGAAUGAAAUGUAUUAGAAGAUAAUAAUCUGAUAAUUAAUUAAGAUAUUUUAGAAUACAUUAAUCACUACAAUCUACGCCUCCGUAUUAAAUAAUUCUCUUAAAGUUUCGACUUUCAAAAAUAAACCUAAUGUGAUAGUUAAUGUUUCUAUCAGGUAAAAUAGAAAAAAAAGUGCUACAGUUAGCUUAAAUCGUAUAUAAUACUAAUAAUCAAGAUUAUUAUAUAUAUAAUACCUGAACAAAAGAUUCUCUGAUACACACAUACACACACAAAAAUGGAUGUUAGUAAAGUUGACGAAGAUAAUCAACGUAGUAUCAAUGACGGUGAUUGGGUCUGUCCAGAUUCUCAGUGUGCUAAUGUAAAUUUCGCAAGACGAAGCUCUUGUAAUCGUUGUGGAAAAGACAGAGGCGAAUGUACAAAGAAGAAAAAGCUGGGACAAGAAAUUGGUAAAGCGGCUGCAGAAAAAAGUAGAGGAUUAUUUAGCGCAGAUGAUUGGCAAUGUAGUAAAUGUGGUAACGUGAAUUGGGCUCGUCGACAACAAUGCAAUAUGUGUAAUGCUCCUAAAUUUGGGGAAAUAGAAGAACGUACUGGAUAUGGUGGAGGAUACAAUGAUCGGGGUAUAGUUGAAUAUAAAGAAAGAAGAGAAGAUGACGACGAUUAUGAUGAAUUUGGAAGACGUAAAAAAAAGAGAAAGAUUGAAAAUCGUUCUGACGAUGAUUCUAAGGAUUCUAGAUACAACAGCCCUUCUCAUUGUAAAGCCAAAGAAGACGAAAAAGAUGAGAUAGCUGAGGAAGAAGUAGAACAAGUUGAAGAAAAUGAUAAUGAAGAAGGAGAAGAAGAAGAACAAGCAGAAGAAGAGGAAGAGGAGGAGGAAGAAGAAGACGAAGAGGAAGAUGAUGAUGACGAUGGAGAUUUAUCAAAAUAUGAUCUUAGCGAAUGGGACACCUUGGCAACAGUAAAAAAAAGCACAAAUGGAAAUACAGUUACUUCGGAAGAACAACGGUCAAGAAAUGGAAAUGAUUGGCGUGAUUCAGGUACAUCCAGCCACUGAGAAGUUGUGCAGAAGGACAGGUUUGACAUGGGUUUUAGGGAUAAAACUGGUUUUUAAAAACCGCAAUAAGCAGAAGAAAAUACUUGGAGCAACAGCAAGUACGCAACUAAGAACAUAUAUAUAAUGCGACAAGUUUAGUGAUUUAGUGAGCACUUUUUAAAUAAAGUGGAAGAUAAUAUAAAACUUCUUGCAAAAAGGAAAUCGAUCGAUGUUAAGCUUUAAAUUUGUGAUCAAAUUGAUAGAAAGAAUGAUGAUGAGGAUAAUGAUGAUGAUUAUGAUAAUAAUAAUAAUAAUAAUAGUAACGAUAAUAAUAAUAAUACGAAGGAAAAAGAAAAAAAACAGGUUGUUCAUCUACGCAAUAUUGUCAUUUUGCAUAAUUAUUGCAAAAAGUUUAUAAAUCAUUAAGCGUAGAUAAAAUUUCUUCGCUAGUCAAAACAAGAUUCUAUAAUUUUGGUGAAUCCUCGUAGAUACAAUUUUCCUAGAUAAAUGACAUAAGGGGAUACGAUGUUAUUUAUAAAGUUUAUUAAAAUUGAUGGAAAAAUUUUUCAAAGCUUUGCAAAAAAAAUAUUUCAAAGCACAAAAAAUAAUUGUAAUGGCUUCGAAUUUUCAAUUGUGUUAUUAAUUACAAAUGCACUAGGUCAAUGUAAACAACAUAUCACUGCUUAAAUUGCGCUCAGCCUGCUUUUGUAAUACUUUAUUCUUCACCGCUUGAAAGAUAUUUUUUCGGUCUAUUAUUUCCUUUUUUCUAUAUCUAUGCAUAAAUAUCCGAAUAAGUAACUAUACUGUGUAGUAUUAAAUGAAUCAUUCCCUUAUAAUGAAUUCUCAAAUGUGUUCGCGUCAUCAGAUUGAAAAAAAGAUAUGGUGUUUUCUCUGAACUUAAGAUAGAUUUAAAUAAGUCGAAAGCAAUCGACAUAAUUAAAAAUAUAACGUGAAUUUGUUUCUAUAUCUGUUGCAUAUAGCAACACCAUUGAUAACAACUUCCAUGCUUGCUUUUAAACUAUUUAAAAAACUAAAAGAAAAAAUGAAUAACGGACAAAAUUCAAUGUCAUAAUGACUUCUUGUAAAUAUCUUUAUUUUUCAUUUAUAAUAAAAAUCAUUCGUCAACAACAUAAUUGUUCUUAGUCAAUUACUUUUUUUAUAAUCAUUAUAAACUACAUGGGGUCAUGAUUAUGCACAGAGUUGGUCACAAGGAGGAUUGGUGAGGGAGUGAAGGGGGACGGGCGAUAUUGUAAGGAUUAUGUUGCAACAGGUUUAUAUAUGUAUACAUAUGCGUAUAUAUAUGUAUAUAUAUACAUAUACAUGUUUGUAUUUUAGGUAUUUAUGCAUGUAUGUAUGUAUUUAUGUAUAUAUGUAUGUAUGUAUAUAUCGUAUGUAUGUACAAUUAUGAAAUUGAAUUUGUAACGUG